GCCUUUGUGGUGUAAUAGUUAGCACACUUGGUGCGUAUUCCAGAGGUCCAGGUUCGAGUCCCGCCGUAGGCA
RNAcentral lists this transfer RNA (72 nucleotides) under Stegodyphus mimosarum. It matches the Rfam family "tRNA". Rfam says of the family: Transfer RNA (tRNA) molecules are approximately 80 nucleotides in length. Their secondary structure includes four short double-helical elements and three loops (D, anti-codon, and T loops). The record is from Rfam by way of RNAcentral. Lineage: Eukaryota; Metazoa; Arthropoda; Arachnida; Araneae; Eresidae.